Molecule: long non-coding RNA, 273 nt
Filed under: Capsicum annuum
Lineage: Eukaryota; Viridiplantae; Streptophyta; Magnoliopsida; Solanales; Solanaceae
Description: long non-coding RNA (CANN_LNC008050)
Source: RNAcentral
CAAAUUCAGUAAAGAUUAUUCUCCAAGUUUAAGUUCUGAAAAUUGAAAAAAAAAAUUAUCUAAAUCAGGUCAUAUAAAUAAUAAGUAAACACUUAACGUAAAUUUUUUUUAGAAAAACAUUAAUGCAAUUAAAAAAAACAAAAUAUCUUGAAAGAGUUUAAAAAAAUGGCAAGUAAUGAAAUAAGAAAGAAGACAAAUGGAGAAAAUUAAAAGCAUGAUAGAGAGCUAGUGAGAAAAGGACAUUAAUGUGUCUUUUGAUGGCUUGGCAAGUGA